Molecule: transfer RNA, 73 nt
Filed under: Pseudomonadota bacterium
Lineage: Bacteria; Pseudomonadati; Pseudomonadota
Also listed under: 1 other name
Description: tRNA-Ala
Rfam family: tRNA
About the family: Transfer RNA (tRNA) molecules are approximately 80 nucleotides in length. Their secondary structure includes four short double-helical elements and three loops (D, anti-codon, and T loops).
Source: RNAcentral
GGGCCUAUAGCUCAGCUGGGAGAGCGCUUCAAUGGCAUUGAAGAGGUCGUGAGUUCGAGUCUCACUAGGUCCA